CAGCCGCCGCGGUAAUACGGAGGGUGCAAGCGUUAAUCGGAAUUACUGGGCGUAAAGCGCACGCAGGCGGUCUGUCAAGUCGGAUGUGAAAUCCCUGAGCUUAACUUAGGAAUUGCAUUCGAUACUGGUUAGCUAGAGUGUGGGAGAGGAUGGUAGAAUUCCAGGUGUAGCGGUGAAAUGCGUAGAGAUCUGGAGGAAUACCGGUGGCGAAGGCGGCCCCCUGGACAAAGACUGACGCUCAGGUGCGAAAGCGUGGGGAGCAAACAGGAUUAGAUACCCGCGUAGUCCCUGUCUCUUAUAC
This 301-nucleotide ribosomal RNA is filed under the name uncultured bacterium. Its description in RNAcentral is "partial 16S ribosomal RNA". It matches the Rfam family "Bacterial small subunit ribosomal RNA", at positions 509 to 807 of the family's 1533-position model. The record is from RNAcentral.